CCGUAUGCAGGGGGACAACAGUCAGAAAUGACUGCUAAUACCGCAUAAGCACACAAUGCUGCAUGGCAUGGUGUGAAAAGAUUUAUCGGCAUACGAUGGCCCCGCGUCUGAUUAGCCAGUUGGCAGGGUAAUGGCCUACCAAAGCAACGAUCAGUAGCCGGCUUGAGAGAGUGACUGGCCACAUUGGGACUGAGACACGGCCCAGACUCCUACGGAAGGCAGCAG
This 225-nucleotide ribosomal RNA is filed under the name uncultured bacterium. RNAcentral's name for it is "partial 16S ribosomal RNA". It matches the Rfam family "Bacterial small subunit ribosomal RNA", at positions 129 to 354 of the family's 1533-position model. The record is from RNAcentral.